RNAcentral lists this ribosomal RNA (492 nucleotides) under uncultured bacterium. RNAcentral describes it as "partial 16S ribosomal RNA". It matches the Rfam family "Bacterial small subunit ribosomal RNA", at positions 29 to 507 of the family's 1533-position model. The record is from RNAcentral.
AGUGAACGCUGGCGGUAGGCCUAACACAUGCAAGUCGAACGGCAGCACAGUAAGAGCUUGCUCUUACGGGUGGCGAGUGGCGGACGGGUGAGGAAUACAUCGGAAUCUACUUUUUCGUGGGGGAUAACGUAGGGAAACUUACGCUAAUACCGCAUACGACCUACGGGUGAAAGCAGUGGAUCUUCGGACCUUGCGCGAUUGAAUGAGCCGAUGUCGGAUUAGCUAGUUGGCGGGGUAAAGGCCCACCAAGGCGACGAUCCGUAGCUGGUCUGAGAGGAUGAUCAGACACACUGGAACGGAGACACGGUCCAGACGACUACGGGAGGAAGCAGUGGGGAAUAUUGGACAAUGGGGGAAAGCCUGAUCCAGCCAUACCGCGUGGGUGAAGAAGGCCUUCGGGUUGUAAAGCCCUUUUGUUGGGAAAGAAAAGCAGCAGGUUAAUACCCCGCUGUUCUGACGGUACCCAAAGAAUAAGCACCGGCUAACUUCGUG